UUUAUUAGAUUUUAGUUAUCUACUUGGAUAACUGUGGCAAUUCUAGAGCUAAUACAUGCACGAAAGCUCGGACCUUAGGGAAAGAGCGCAUUUAUUAGACCAAAACCAAUCAGGCUUCGGCUUGUGUUUUGGUGACUCUGAAUAACUAAGUGAAUCGCACAGUCUUAGUACUGGCGAUGUAUUUUUCAAAUGUCUGCCUUAUCAACUUUCGAUGGUAGGUUAUACGCCUACCAUGGUUAUAACGGGUAACGGAGAAUAAGGGUUCGACUCCGGAGAGGGAGCCUGAGAAAUGGCUACCACAUCCAAGGAAGGCAGCAGGCGCGCAAAUUACCCAAUCCCAGAACGGGGAGGUAGUGACGAAAAAUAACGAGGUAGUCCACUCUGUGGCCUGCCAUCGGAAUGGGUACAAUUUAAAACUUUUAACGAGUACCAAUUAGAGGGCAAGUCUGGUGCCAGCAGCCGCGGUAAUUCCAGCUCUAAUAGCGUAUAUUAAAGUUGUUGUGGUUAAAACGCCCGUAGUUGGAUCUUCGGUCUUGAAGCUCGGUAACUCGUAAGGGUUUAACUGAGUCUUCUGGCCUAAAUUUUAGUAUUCUCCUGAUGCUCUUUAUUGAGUGUCUUGAGUUGCUAGAACGUUUACUUUGAAAAAAUUAGAGUGCUAAAAGCAGGCUAUAUGCUUGAAUAAAGUGCAUGGAAUAAUGGAAUAGGACUUUAGUUUUAUUUUGUUGGUUUUCGAAAUUAAAGUAAUGAUUAAGAGGAACAGACGGGGGCAUUAGUAUUGUUGCGUUAGAGGUGAAAUUCUUGGAUCGCAGCAAGACUAACAACUGCGAAAGCAUUUGCCAAGAAUGUUUUCAUUAAUCAAGGACGAUAGUUAGAG
Molecule: ribosomal RNA, 874 nt
Filed under: Jensenonchus sp. YT2
Lineage: Eukaryota; Metazoa; Nematoda; Enoplea; Mononchida; Anatonchidae
Description: SSU rRNA
Rfam family: Eukaryotic small subunit ribosomal RNA
Source: RNAcentral